RNAcentral lists this ribosomal RNA (501 nucleotides) under uncultured bacterium. RNAcentral describes it as "partial 16S ribosomal RNA". It matches the Rfam family "Bacterial small subunit ribosomal RNA", at positions 30 to 523 of the family's 1533-position model. The record is from RNAcentral.
AUUGAACGCUGGCGGCAGGCUUAACACAUGCAAGUCGAGCGGAGAUGAGGUGCUUGCACCUUAUCUUAGCGGCGGACGGGUGAGUAAUGCUUAGGAAUCUGCCUAUUAGUGGGGGACAACAUUCCGAAAGGAAUGCUAAUACCGCAUACGUCCUACGGGAGAAAGCAGGGGAUCUUCGGACCUUGCGCUAAUAGAUGCGCCUAAGUCAGAUUAGCUAGUUGGUGGGGUAAAGGCCUACCAAGGCGACGAUCUGUAGCGGGUCUGAGAGGAUGAUCCGCCACACUGGGACUGAGACACGGCCCAGACUCCUACGGGAGGCAGCAGUGGGGAAUAUUGGACAAUGGGGGGAACCCUGAUCCAGCCAUGCCGCGUGUGUGAAGAAGGCCUUAUGGUUGUAAAGCACUUUAAGCGAGGAGGAGGCUACUGAGACUAAUACUCUUGGAUAGUGGACGUUACUCGCAGAAUAAGCACCGUCUAACUCUGUGCCAGCCGCCGCCGUAA